RNAcentral lists this ribosomal RNA (253 nucleotides) under uncultured prokaryote. RNAcentral describes it as "partial 16S ribosomal RNA". It matches the Rfam family "Bacterial small subunit ribosomal RNA", at positions 524 to 776 of the family's 1533-position model. The record is from RNAcentral.
UACAGAGGUCCCGAGCGUUGUUCGGAUUCACUGGGCGUAAAGGGUGCGUAGGCGGCUUUGCAAGUCUGAUGUGAAAUCUCCGGGCCCAACCCGGAAACGGCAUUAGAAACUGCGGGGCUGGAGGCUUGGAGGGGGAACUGGAAUGCUCGGUGUAGCAGUGAAAUGCGUAGAGAUCGAGCGGAACACCAGUGGCGAAGGCGAGUUCCUGGACAAGACCUGACGCUGAGGCACGAAAGCCAGGGGAGCAAACAGG